UGCAUUUCUGUGCACACAAAAGCUUGACACACAUGAAGAAAACAGAACCAGAGUGCAUUUCUUUCAUUCCUUCAGUCAUUUUUCUUUCAGUUUUUCACCAAACCCAGUCCAACAGAGAAAAGAGAUCUCUCUGCAGGCUGUGUAUGGAAUUAGGGCCCCAGCUGCAAUAUUCAGAUUCAUUGGGCCACCUGGGAUCACUGUAACCCCACACCUAGAAAGUGGCCUCCCUCCUCGCGGUGAGGGCCAUCAAGCAACCCUCUGCUGUGGGCCACGCUGACGUCAGUGGAUUUGAUAGCAGUAAGGGAGCACCAGGAAGGCCCCACCUGCCUGGCUGGGAAAUGGCAAAGUCUUGGUGUUCCUUCACUCACAGCCUCCAUUCACACUGGCUGAGAAGGGCAGAGGAAACAACUUGGAUGUUUCUUCUCCUACCUCUACUUCUCCUCUGUCAAUGGCAUCUUUCCAUCUCUCUACUGACCUGCUUUUUGUUUGUUUUUCUGCCUUUUUUUUUUUUUUUUUAGUUAUUGAAUCUUGUUUCCCCUGCCAAACUGCCUACAGCUCCUGUUCUGUUUAUUAUACUCAGCACAGAAAGGAAUGAAAAGGAACGAAUCUUGGAAGAGAAACAAAAGCCUGCAAUAAGCUGUAUUCUCAAUUACCCUGUAGCAUGCAGACUGAGAACAAGAGGAGUUGCCACGCUGACACAUACAGCUGAAAAUUGGGUUUGCUAGGUACAGCGAUGUUAAAGGCAGCCUUUCAAUGCCUCCCUCCCAGGCUGCCACUGUGCUGUGCCCUUCGCGAGCACUCCACCACUUAUUGGCACAGGUAUAAAAGCAUCCCUUGGACAAGAGACAGCUCAGGUAAGCUCUGGAGAAAUCAAAGCAGGAAAAGCGGAUAAAAGGCAGCAGUAUUUCUGUCACUACCUCACAGACGGGUUUAUUCUCUCUAACAAUUUCCACCUUGGCAAGCUCCAGGUCACUAAAACAACAUCCAGAACAAUGAAUUAAAGAUACUGAAAAAGAUGAUACAGAAUGCAGCAUUCUCACAGAAAUGUAGAAACUCCCCACACUUCCAUGCAUUGGUAAACCUCAGGCCUCCAUAAGGCUGAGCACUUUGUGCCUCGCUCACACUUGCUGAUUUUCAGUGCUAAAUCGUGCUGAAAACAAACAGAUUGUCAGAUCCAGGAAUCUCUGCAGGGCACAGUCCAGCGAUGUGCUUCAGUUCAGGGAUAACUGAACAGGGCUGGAUAACGCACAGACGCUCUCUCUGUGCGCAACAGUUCCCCUGUUACCCUGACAGGGAACAUCAGCCAUUUGUUUCAACGCAUUACUGCUUUCUAUCCUUUUUAGAACCAACUAUGGAGUUAACUGUGAUAUUUUCCCUGAGUGGGCAAACAAAGGAGGGAAGCGCAGAGCCCACCAGCACUGCCUGCUCAGGAUGUGCACUACUGCAGGACUCUGCAGAGAGUCUCCUAAAGACUGUACUGAGGCGGUGUCUCAUACAGAGCCACAUCCUCCUUAUUCUCGUGCAGCAGCAGCUGCAGGGACCUGGGGGAGUAGGAGGGAGGGAGCAGAGCAGCCAGGCAGCGCUCACACAUCCUCACCUGCAGCAGUGGGCAGUGAGCCAGCCUGCCCUCUGGGGGAAGGGGGAAGCGGAGGCAGGUGAUACCUGCUCAGUGUGCGGAGGAUGGCUUUCUGGGGGUUGGCUUUCCUUUCUUUUUUUUCAGGAAGCGUUUAUCUUCUGACAGUUUUCUGUGUGUUUUUUUUUUUUUUUCUAAUUUACAAACAAAACCCCGCUGCAGAUCUCUGAUUUUUUAUUUUUUUUUAUUUUUUGCUAGAAGAACUGAUCCAGAAAACAGAGACUGAUGAGACCCCCUUGUCCCAUAUCCGCCGCUAAUUCCUAGGGCACAUUCCCCUGCCCUGCCACAUUUUCACGAGCAUUGUUUGCAAAGCGCUGUUCUCUCUGAUAACGCGUCUUAAGACAUCUGUCUGUAUCCCUGAAGUUUCCCUCUUGGAUUUUGCAUCCUGAUUCUCUUAAAAACACAUCCUCAUCUGCAGGCAGCUUCAGCUGCCCAUUAUUUUCAUUUCUGGAUCUCUUUUCAGUAACGUGCUCAUUUCUGUGCCUGUCUUCAUAGAGACGUAUCUCUGCGGAGCAGUGUACUCUGAAGGACAAAGCAAACAACUCCUGGAUCCCCUCCCAGGCUAACCGGAGGAGAGGGGCAGGAGAGGAGCUGUUUUGUAUUUGGGAGAAACCCUAAUUCUCAUGGGACUCUGGAUCCUAUGGCACUACAGACAUUUCUCAGAGGAGCCACCACAAAAAAGAAACACCCCAGAAAGCUCGGUGUAUCCGUACUGGGCACACAGUCACACCUGAUGCUCACACAACGCUGGGCAGCCAAGAGCCAAGGGCUCAAAUUCAGUGGUGCACAGGGCUGAGGUUGGCAGAGGCAGAGCAACAAGCACCUUUGGCCCAAUGUAUGGGAACUGUUGAAUCAGGGCCUGAACCUCUGAUUGACCACCUGAGGCAAGCACUGAAUCAGCAGCAGGAGCACAGGUGAAGGCAAUUCAGCUGUGUGGCUGGAAGGGGUGGAGCCAGGCUGCACCUCUCCUAGAUCCCAUUUAAGGGCUGACUGCCAUUGGGGAAGGAUCUCUUUCUGGAGAUUGCUUCUUGUGGAGUUUCUCGUGAGCCUGCAACACUGGUGAGCGCUUUCAUUUAUCUAUGAUUAUCUUUUCCAAUGCGAUAAUCUUACUAAGCCUAACUUCUCUGUAUACGUAUUGUUCAUCCAAUACUUCACAACAUCUGUAUUCUUAUUGACCUUACACCCAACAGAUUAAAAGCGUACGCCAUUACAGCAUGGACAGCAACACUGUGCUGUUCCAUGAUACAGGGAGAAGGUGGGUAAUGCCAAGGCAGGACUCUGGUCACCACAGCCCAAAGGACAGGGCUAAGAUCAGAAGGAAGCCCUCCAGGCACCUUCUCACCUUCCAGCGUGUCAUCCUGAUGGGAUCUCUGUGCAAUCCCUCCUUCCACUUGGCACAAUACACUUUCAUUCACUGUAUCCCCGAUCCCCAGAUAGGGGCUAAGAAGGAGAAAAAAAGGCUUACACUAAAUGUUACUCCCCUAUUUUCUUCUGUACCAAUCUGAUUUACCCAUCUUGAGGGCAGUAGUGAUGGCUUGAUGUCUUAGGGGAUGCACAACUCGCAUACUUGCCAUAAAUAAUGGAUAGCACAUUACACAGUACUUAAUAUUUAAGUACCUGAAGAAGUAAAAGAAAAUGGAAACAAAAUAUCAUUAAGGGACUGACCUGUUUAAGUACUGCAGAAGGUAAAGAAUAUUUCAACUACAUUCUACUUCCCAUUUGGCCACAGGUCCCAAAUGAAAACCCUGAGAUGUUUCUCCAGCCACAUGUAACACUACUACUUACAACAAAAGAGCUGCCUUGCCCAGCACCCUGCAUCUCACUGUACAGCGAGCAGCACAGAUGCCUGUAAGACUGCAUAAAACCAGGACGAGCUCUUGGAAGAAUAUUCUUCCAGGCUAAUUUUUACCUUGGACACUUACCAGACCUAAGGGCAACGUCUUUAUAUUUUAAUCAUUCUUGAUGUAUUCUUUUUCAUCCUCAAAUUUUCAGAGUGCUUUCUGAAGCUGUGUAACUCCAGCUAUAACAGUAACAUGCCACACAACUUCUUUGUGACAAGGAAGUCCUCAGCCUUGGCAUAUUCAACUUUGUUCCUACCAGAUUCAACAUGAUUCCUACCAGAUCUUUGCCUGCAAAACAGUCUGCAGAAGAUUUUUUUUUUUUCCAGUCACUUUCUCCAGGCUAUGUAUGGCUUUAUAGACUUGUAUCAAAUCUCUUCCUUUCAGCUAUCUCUUUUCCAGGGUGAGAAGUCCUAAUCUACUCAGGUGUCCCUGUCACAAAAGCCACUGUGCAUCCAGAUUGCUUUGGUCAUCCUGCUCCAUGUCUCCUCCACAUCUGAUGUGUUUCCUGAGGGGCAGAGGGCAGGGCACCAUGUGCUGGUCACAAUGGAUGUACUGUUUGGACUUAGAAUAUAUAUGGCAUAAUUGUGGUUUCAACUUAGACUAUUCUGUUCCCAGCAUUCAGUUUGAGUUUUUGACCACUGCUGAAAGGCCUGAACUGACAGUCGCUUCAACUUAUCUACCAAUAUCAAAAAGAAAACACUGCUCCUGAGUGAUAAAAUAUUGGGACAGUUUCUUCCUAUUUACUACCCUUUAUGUUUAUCUGUACUGAAUUUCAUCUGCACUUCCUUUACCUGGCUCUCAAUUUGAGAUGAUCAUUUUGCAACUGACUCAUUUCCCUGAAAAAACUGAGCUCAUCAUCCAACUUCACCAUCUGACUGCAGCCCUGCUUUUCCACCUUGUUUGUGAGCCUAUCAAACACCACAGCCUGAGCACAGGUCCCUACAGAACCAGCCUUGUGACUUUCCUCCACUGCGGAAGCUUCAACCUUUUAUUUCUACCUCCUACUUCCCAAUUUUAAUUGAUUUUUCUGAAGCACCUCACUGUCACUGCGUGGCACCUGCAUUCCUUAACAGCUCUUUGAUGCUUUUUGUAAAUCCAAGUAAGUUAUAUCACCAGUCUGGCCCAUCCACUCCUCCAGUCCUACCCGACAGAUUACUAUAUCAUGAUUUUCAUUGCAAACCCCCGGAUGGCUCUUUGUCACUGAUAUUUAUUGAUAUUCCCACUCAUUCCAUUAUUAUUACAGCUUUUGCCAAUGUAUUUAUUGCAUAUACUAGGUUUACCACCGUGGAGCUCUGGGAACCUCACAGGAAACACUUAAAAUAGGAUGUUAAACUGGUGUUUGUCUUCCGGUACCGGGACAUAAGCCAGGAGUGCACACUGGAGUGCCCCAUGACCUCCCUCUCCCCUCCUGGAAUCUUUCAGUAGGUCUGCAGGUUUAAAGAGACAAGACGGAGAACACGGAAGACAUCAACACCUUCCAGCAAUCCAAAUAAAUAAACAUCAUUUUUGAUGUCAGUCCUUUAAUGGCUGUCCUCCUCCUUGAAUAUUAAGAAUAUCAUCACAGAACCUAGAAAGCCAGCCAGAAGAGUUGUGAUUUUUACUAAAUGGUAUUAACAAAACCAAAGCUAAAAAAGCAUGAGAAAUGGAGAGUAAUGCUGCAUUUUGUAUAGAUCUUCUAUUGUGGCGCUGCACGUUUGGUUUCAUUAAACUGUCUAAUUUCAGAAUAUAAGUGUUUCUGAACAAACUUUCUUUACCCAGUAAACUUUCAUUUUUUUCUUCACUAAAGUAAUUCAAUAAGUAAACUCAGUAAGAUUGCAGGUGACACUAAGUUGGCAGGAAGUGUCAAUCUGCCUGGGAGUAGAAGGCACUUCAGAGGGAUCUGGACAGGCUGGGCUGAGGCCAAUGGGAUGAAGUCCAACAACACCAACAGCCAGGUACUGCAUUUUGGCCACGAGAACCCCAGGCACCGCUACAGCCUUGGGGCAGAGUGGCUAGAAGACUGUGUUGGAAGAAAUGGACCUGGGGGUGUUGGUCUGUGCUCAGCUGAAUGUGUGCCCAGGUGACCCUAAGGUUGAUGGCAUCCUGGCUUCUAUCAAAAAUAGUGUUGUCAGCAGGAGCAGGGAGGUGAUUAUCUCUCUGUACUCAGCUCUUUUCCUACCUUAAUGAUACUACAAUUCUAAAGUUUUUAGAAAAACAUCUUCUGUUCUGCUGAGUUUUAAACAUAUUUAUGUGUGAAGAAUAAACUUAUUCUCCAC
Long non-coding RNA from Gallus gallus (chicken), 5729 nucleotides. Lineage: Eukaryota; Metazoa; Chordata; Aves; Galliformes; Phasianidae. The record is from Ensembl.